CAAAGACAUGUGGCUCUGGGGAGGGGGCUCUGUGAGGCACAGGCAGAGGAGAACCAUCUGGAGCAGAAAGACUGCCAAGGAGCUGCUGUCCCUGGAGUGGGAGCCAGGGAACAUGGGGGAGAGGAGCAUGGGCCUGAGCUGGGCCCCUCACCCUCUUCUGUCUCCCAGGACUGAGUGGUAAAGGGGCUUUGAUCCACCAAAGGCCCUUGAGUCACAUACUUGGAACUCAUCCCUGGGUCAGGCAUUAAGCCUCAAGUUGACACCUGAGAAGUGAGGAGAAAGAACCAAGUCUGGCAUCUGAAGUACACUAGGAAUCCAGAGUCUCCCCUGCCUAUCUUUCUCUGUUGGCUUUACACUGCCACUCCUAGGCCCUGCCGCAAGGGGCACUGUCCUCACUCUAUGGCAGGCCUGGGUAGAGUAGUCACCUGGCUGGUAAGGGGAGAGGAGGCUGGCCUAGGGUUGGUGAACUUCACUAAGGUUCCUGAGCCUUUCUGUUUCCCAAGGUUCCCUGGGCAGGCCGCAUUCCUCAGGGGGGUGGGGCCCCUGGUUUCCCACACUUUGUCACCGCCCCCCCCCCACUGGGGGCUGUGAUGUGUGGGGUCGCCAUGACAACGAAGUGGGGGCAGGGCACCUAGGGCAUGGAGCAGGACUAUGGAAGUCACCAAGGAGGUGGGGGGCCCUGAUACAUCCGGCCCCCAAGACCACUCCUUGGCCAGCAGCCAGCAGCCGGGGGGUGGCCUCAGAGGGUCCCAGGGACCAUGGAUAAACUCGGGAUCUGCAUACUUCAGGCAGGGGUUGUCAUUGUCCACCGAGGCCAUCAUUGAUGGGACCUGUGGCCCUGCCUCCCAGGCCCAUGCCCCUGAGCCCAUUCACCAGCUACACCGGGACCCUGCUGAGGUUAGCUCCCAGUAUGGCUGUGAGCAGGCCUCCCAAGAUACUCUGAGGCUCCCUUCUACUAGUCCGUUUCCAAGCUCCAUCGUGGGAACCCAAACGCAUCUCAUCGUGGAGAACAGGACCCUGGCCCUACCCGUGUGCACACGCAGUGACAGCACCAGUGACAUGGCCCAGGAUGGAUUCUGCCGCUCCCGGCUUCAGGUGCAGGUUGCAGGGCAGGGCAAGGCUCCAGCUAAAGUCCUGGUAGGCUGGGGCAAAGGCCCUUGCAGUCCUGACCAGAGAGCCCCCGUGGGCAGCAGAAAGAGCCGGUGGCUACCCUAUUUCCUGUCAGGGGAGGAUGGCUCAGUUGUAGCCCAAGAUCCUCCUCUGGCUCCAACUCAAGGUCAGGGCCAGGGCAAGUGCCCGUGUCCAGCCCAGGCUCCUCCAACUCCAUCUCAGGCAAAUACUUCAGCUGUGGAUACAGCCCUAAUGCCAGCAGUAUCUGAACCUUACACCUCCAACCCUGACCACUCGACAGAUACCCUUGCCAUCACCAAUGGCCUGUCCCAAGACCUCCUGCUCAGGGAGUGUGGCAAUCGAUGGCCAGUUGUCUUGGAGUCUUCCAAAGUGGUCACACCCUGCCAGGACAAAGUGGAUUUUCAUUUUCGGGAGGAGACUUCUGCCCCAGCGCCCACUCCAGAGGAGUCCUCAGACCAUGUCCAGGAGCUUGAGGUUGCCAGAAUGCAGGUGUUACCCAACCAGCCCGAGAACCCAGCAGAGAAGCCCCUGGUCUACACCUCCAGGCCAGGCAGCCCAACACCAGGCUCAGGACUCCCAGGGCCCCCCAAGUCCCAGAGGAGUAGCCAUGAGAUCUGCAGCUCUCAGCCAGACCAGCAGCCUCUCAAUGUUUGCAACAAUACCUGCUCCAAUGUGCCAGCGUCUGCCUACCAAGUAUCCUGCCACGAGCAGUCCCCAGUCCAGUCUCCCAGGGAAGCCAUACAGAUUCCCCCUUCCAGUGCCCCUACCUGCCAGCUCCCAGAUGCUGUGGAAGACCGUGUGCUGGUGUUUGAUAUAGCCACAGGCAACACCAGGAUGGGGCUACUGUGCCAUGACCCCAUGGGUUCACGGGCAGUGCUCGUGGGCCUCAUGCCCAGCCACCCAUCCAUCUAUGUCCCUGAAAAUGUGUUGUCCACUCGACCAUUACCCGUGCCAAUCCUUUCCCCUGACAACAAUCGUUCCAGAUUCUGGUCCACUUCACCCGUACUGUCCAGCCCUGUGCCCUCUAGCCUCUCGUCGGGAAGCUAUCGAGAGGUGGCCCUGGUUCCCAAGGAGGGGAGUAUCAACUUGGAGUCAUGGGACUCCCCUGGUACUGAGACACCCAUCAGACUGUUCACUGGGCCCAUUCCACUGGGGACGCCCCUCCAAUUUGGUGAGAGGAUAUUGAGCCAUGUUCAUGAGCCUGGCUGGUCUAAACCUGAUGCUGAAAAAAAUGAAGCUAGUCACACCAUCUGGAUGCUGAAUACAGCCAGGAUGCAGGACACUUCCAUGGUCCAGCCCAAGAAACUGCAGUGGAUGAACUCAGAGCUGAUCCCAGAGCCUACGCCACAAGCGAAACCCCAGGUGAUGUCCAGAUCCCUACUCCAGGUGGAUACAGGCAACCACAACCAGAAAGCGGUCCUUACUGCUCACCCUGACAACCUUAGGGCAGAAGGUGCUGGGCAGGCCUCCCUCAGUGGUCAGCCGCCACUAGCUGAGCAGUGUCCCCUGGCUGGACAGCCCCCUCCAACUGCUCAGCCUCCCUCUGCCGACCAGUGCCCCCUCACCAGGCAGACCCCCCUUUCUGGUCAGCCACUCCUGGCUGAGCAAGCCCCUUCUACCAAGCAGCUCCCCCUUCCUGGUCAGCCCCCUCUCACUGGAACCCCUCUUGCCAGGCAGCUUUCUCUCACCGGGAAGCAUCCCUUUUCUCAAGAACCCCCCAUUUCCAAAGAGCCCAUCAUCUCAGGAGGGACCCCCAUCCCCAGGGAACCUGGCCAGGCCUCCACCUUGCAUCAGGAAGGAGAGCCCUUGGGCUUGCCGGCCCACGUAGGGCUACUUCAGGUGCCCCUGGCCCCUAAGGAGACCCGUGUCUACGUGAGUAGAGAAAAGGUCGGUGUCGGUGCCACUCAAAGCUCCAGCACACAUCAGCUCUCAUCCUGGCCACCUGGCAGCUCCCCUGGGACCCAAGAGGAACAGUUUUCCCUGGUCACAUUAUCUACACCUGGCACUGGCUGCAAGGUCUUGCCUGUGGCUAUGGUGGGCAGUGACCCCCCGGGUCCCCAGUUCAAGCUGAUGGCUGAGGACAUUACGCUCUCACCAGUGGUUGCACACCUUGGCCUGCUCCGUGGGGCCUGCUACGAACUGGUGCCCACCACGGAUGCUCUGCCAGUGCAGUCCCCGGUGCUCUGCCGCCACUCACUGGGUCCCUACCAGGACAUGGUGGCUGUGGUGAUUGACACAGGCACGGGCUUCACCAAAUGUGGACUGGCUGGAGAGGACCACGUCCUCAGUGUGGUGUCCUCACGUGUCCAACUGCUACAGCACCCAGCCCAGGACGAGCCUCGGUAUGUGGUGCCCGAGGACCAAGAGGGCUCCUGUUCGGUGCUGAAUCGAGGAGUGGUCUCGGACUGGGAUGCAUUGGAGGUGCUGUGGCAGCACUUGUUUUAUUGCAGGCUGGGCGUGCGGCCGGAGGAGCUGGCUGUCCUCGUGGCUGACUCACCCAUUUCACCGCGCACCAACCGAGAAAAGGUGGCUGAAAUACUCUUUGAGCGCUUCCACGUGCCAGCCAUGCAGACGGCGCAUCAGGCCCUCCUGGCACUCUAUGCUUACGGGCGCACCACUGGGCUGGUGCUGGGCAGUGGCCAUGGUACCUCCUAUGUGGCGCCUAUUCUUACGGGGGAUCUGGCCCCCCUCGACACCUACCGGCUGGACGUGGCUGGUGCUGACCUCACUGAAUACCUGGCUCAGCUAUUGCUGGCAGGUGGCCACUCACCACCCAAGGCAGGGUUGGUCAACCAGAUUAAAGAGGCCUGCUGCUAUGUGGCCACGGACAUGACAGCUGAGAUGGCCCGUGCCCAGGCUCAGGCCCGAGUGGACUUCAUGCUUCCAGACAAGCAGGUCAUCACACUGGGCUCUGAGCGUUUCUGCUGCCCUGAGGCCCUCUUCCAGCCCGAUCUGCUAGGCCUCAACCAGCCUGGCCUCCCACAACUAGCCCUCCUUAGCAUUGGCCGGCUGGAUGCCAAGCAGCAGGAGCAGCUGCUGGCCAAUGUGGUGCUGGAAGGUGGCACCACCCUGGUGAAUGGCUUUCCUGAGCGCCUAAGUCAGGAGCUGGGCCCCCGAGCCACUGUGCUGGGCUCUCCCCACCGUGCUGUUGCUGCUUGGCUUGGAGGCUCCAUCAUGGCAUCCCGGGACUCCUUCCAGAGUCUGUGGCUCAGCCGCCGUGAGUACGAGGAGGAAGGCCCUUGGGCCAUCUACAAGUACCAUCUCUCAGAGACUGGCAAUGCCGUUUGGGUGUGUGACUCUGGGCGAUAAGAAGAACUAUAACCAGCCGUCGGAGGUGACUGACAGAUAUGAUUUGGGACAGGUCAUCAAGACUGAGGAGUUCUGUGAGAUCUUCCGGGCCAAGGACAAGACGACGGGCAAGCUGCACACCUGCAAGAAGUUCCAGAAGCGGGACGGCCGCAAGGUGCGGAAGGCGGCCAAGAACGAAAUAGGCAUCCUCAAGAU
RNA transcript from Felis catus (domestic cat), 4635 nucleotides. It is a transcript of the gene named CaM kinase like vesicle associated, with no coding region annotated. The record is from RefSeq and is a predicted model, not a curated record. Lineage: Eukaryota; Metazoa; Chordata; Mammalia; Carnivora; Felidae. The transcript has 3 exons.